UGGCAACAAAGUGCUCCAGC
Molecule: unclassified non-coding RNA, 20 nt
Filed under: Chlamydomonas reinhardtii
Lineage: Eukaryota; Viridiplantae; Chlorophyta; Chlorophyceae; Chlamydomonadales; Chlamydomonadaceae
Description: small RNA Cre_3287
Source: RNAcentral